AAUCAGAAGAUAAUCGGGCCAUAGACAGCAGGUGCGGUAACGCAUAAGUAGAAAUACACCUGCCGAGGCUGGAGACGAUGAAGAUAGACCUUCGCGACCUCCGGCUUAGGCCGAGAGGUCUUUUUGAUUUUAUA
Non-coding RNA from Phascolarctobacterium sp. CAG:207, 134 nucleotides. Lineage: Bacteria; Bacillati; Bacillota; Negativicutes; Acidaminococcales; Acidaminococcaceae. The record is from Rfam.